Molecule: non-coding RNA, 73 nt
Organism: Verticillium alfalfae VaMs.102
Lineage: Eukaryota; Fungi; Ascomycota; Sordariomycetes; Glomerellales; Plectosphaerellaceae
Source: the annotation of a RefSeq genome assembly
UAUGUUGUGGACUAAUGGGUAAGUCAUAAAUUUUUGAUAUUUACUAUUAAGUGUUCGAAUCACUUCAACAUAA